GGGUUGUGAGGUUAAGCGACUAAGCGUACACGGUGGAUGCCCUGGCAGUCAGAGGCGAUGAAGGACGUGCUAAUCUGCGAAAAGCGUCGGUAAGGUGAUAUGAACCGUUAUAACCGGCGAUGUCCGAAUGGGGAAACCCAGUGCAAUUCGUUGCACUAUCGUUAACUGAAUACAUAGGUUAACGAGGCGAACCGGGGGAACUGAAACAUCUAAGUACCCCGAGGAAAAGAAAUCAACCGAGAUUCCCCCAGUAGCGGCGAGCGAACGGGGAGCAGCCCAGAGUCUGAAUCAGCUUGUGUGUUAGUGGAACGGUCUGGAAAGUCCGACGGUACAGGGUGAUAGUCCCGUACACCAAAAUGCACAGGCUGUGAACUCGAAGAGUAGGGCGGGACACGUGGUAUCC
RNAcentral lists this ribosomal RNA (403 nucleotides) under Klebsiella pneumoniae. RNAcentral's name for it is "bacterial LSU rRNA". It matches the Rfam family "Bacterial large subunit ribosomal RNA", at positions 1 to 434 of the family's 2925-position model. Lineage: Bacteria; Pseudomonadati; Pseudomonadota; Gammaproteobacteria; Enterobacterales; Enterobacteriaceae. The record is from RNAcentral.